GAUGAACGCUGGCGGCGUGCCUAAUACAUGCAAGUCGAGCGAACGGACGAGAAGCUUGCUUCUCUGAUGUUAGCGGCGGACGGGUGAGUAACACGUGGAUAACCUACCUAUAAGACUGGGGUAACUUCGGGAAACCGGAGCUAAUACCGGAUAAUAUUUUGAACCGCAUGGUUCAAAAGUGAAAGACGGUCUUGCUGUCACUUAUAGAUGGAUCCGCGCUGCAUUAGCUAGUUGGUAAGGUAACGGCUUACCAAGGCAACGAUGCAUAGCCGACCUGAGAGGGUGAUCGGCCACACUGGAACUGAGACACGGUCCAGACUCCUACGGGAGGCAGCAGUAGGGAAUCUUCCGCAAUGGGCGAAAGCCUGACGGAGCAACGCCGCGUGAGUGAUGAAGGUCUUCGGAUCGUAAAACUCUGUUAUUAGGGAAGAACAUAUGUGUAAGUAACUGUGCAUAUCUUGACGGUACCUAAUCAGAAAGCCACGGCUAACUACGUG
This 497-nucleotide ribosomal RNA is filed under the name uncultured bacterium. Its description in RNAcentral is "partial 16S ribosomal RNA". It matches the Rfam family "Bacterial small subunit ribosomal RNA", at positions 28 to 507 of the family's 1533-position model. The record is from RNAcentral.